This 301-nucleotide ribosomal RNA is filed under the name uncultured bacterium. RNAcentral's name for it is "partial 16S ribosomal RNA". It matches the Rfam family "Bacterial small subunit ribosomal RNA", at positions 509 to 809 of the family's 1533-position model. The record is from RNAcentral.
CAGUCGCCGCGGGAAUACGAAGGGUGCAAGCGUUAAUCGGAAUUACUGGGCGUAAAGCGUGCGUAGGCGGUGAGUUAAGUCUGCUGUGAAAUCCCCGGGCUCAACCUGGGAAUGGCAGUGGAUACUGGCUCGCUAGAGUGUGUCAGAGGAUGGUGGAAUUCCCGGUGUAGCGGUGAAAUGCGUAGAGAUCGGGAGGAACAUCAGUGGCGAAGGCGGCCAUCUGGGACAACACUGACGCUGAGGCACGAAAGCGUGGGGAGCAAACAGGAUUAGAUACCCGCGUAGUCCCUGUCUCUUAUAU